ACCACGGUGGUCUAGCGGUUAGAACGCUGGCCUUGUAAUCCUGGGGUCCCGGGUUCAAUUCCCGGUGGUGCUC
Molecule: transfer RNA, 73 nt
Filed under: Zootermopsis nevadensis
Lineage: Eukaryota; Metazoa; Arthropoda; Insecta; Blattodea; Termopsidae
Rfam family: tRNA
About the family: Transfer RNA (tRNA) molecules are approximately 80 nucleotides in length. Their secondary structure includes four short double-helical elements and three loops (D, anti-codon, and T loops).
Source: Rfam by way of RNAcentral